Molecule: long non-coding RNA, 381 nt
Organism: Peromyscus leucopus (white-footed mouse)
Lineage: Eukaryota; Metazoa; Chordata; Mammalia; Rodentia; Cricetidae
Exons: 2
Source: RefSeq, a predicted model, not a curated record
UUGCCAAGGAGGAGGGGUUCACAAGACCCCACCCCUCCCUGAGAAUGUAUAGACAGUUAAUGGUUGCUACAGCAAAGAGGAAGGUUUCUUCGAGGUGUAGCCACUGUGUUUUGAAAGUGAAUCUUCAAGCAAGAACACUGCAACUGUAAACAAGGGCCACAGGGCAAGUCCCAGAAAGCCAAGUCUUAAAGAAACGUGGAGCUCAGCAGCCCGUAUGCAGAUCCUUCUUCAGUUCUGGGAAAUCCCUGUGCAUCUCUAAAGUGGUGCUGCACUACUGCCAAUGAUUGUUUCACCAACCUCUUAGAACAGAAAAACUCACAGAAACAGAACAGCUUCCUUUCUUAUAAAUUGGAAAGAAAUUAAAAUGUUAAUCAUGAUGAU